CAGUCGCCGCGGGAAUACGUAGGUGGCAAGCGUUGUCCGGAAUUAUUGGGCGUAAAGGGCUCGCAGGCGGUUUCUUAAGUCUGAUGUGAAAGCCCCCGGCUCAACCGGGGAGGGUCAUUGGAAACUGGGAAACUUGAGUGCAGAAGAGGAGAGUGGAAUUCCACGUGUAGCGAUGAAAUGCGUAGAGAUGUGGAGGAACACCAGUGGCGAAGGCGACUCUCUGGUCUGUAACUGACGCUGAGGAGCGAAAGCGUGGGGAGCGAACAGGAUUAGAUACCCCGGUAGUCCCUGUCUCUUAUAC
RNAcentral lists this ribosomal RNA (301 nucleotides) under uncultured bacterium. RNAcentral's name for it is "partial 16S ribosomal RNA". It matches the Rfam family "Bacterial small subunit ribosomal RNA", at positions 509 to 807 of the family's 1533-position model. The record is from RNAcentral.